Molecule: transfer RNA, 569 nt
Filed under: Argonema galeatum A003/D1
Lineage: Bacteria; Bacillati; Cyanobacteriota; Cyanophyceae; Oscillatoriales; Oscillatoriaceae
Description: partial 16S-23S ribosomal RNA intergenic spacer
Rfam family: tRNA (bases 117-190)
Source: RNAcentral
UUUAGGGAGACCUGCUUCGUCUUGACCGAAAUCAAAUCAUGAGGUCAGAUGCAAGUUAUCCCAGGUCGGACGAGAAUUAGUGUAGGCUUUCAAACUAUUGAUGGGUUUCGGAACAUGGGCUAUUAGCUCAGGUGGUUAGAGCGCACCCCUGAUAAGGGUGAGGUCCCUGGUUCGAGUCCAGGAUGGCCCACCUCUACUUCCUUUGGUAAACAGCCGUAAAAACUUGUGGCUUUUUCCCAAGUAGGGAGAAAACAAAAAAACCAAAAAAAUCUCAUCAGAUUCUUAGCGUUCACUGUGAUAGCCUAGAUAAAGUGAGUAAAAGAGUACAGCAACUGCACCAAUCAAAAAGUGGUCAGCCUGCUGGAUGUCUUACCAGCCAGAACCUUGAAAACUGCAUAGCAACGUUAAAAAGAAAGUCAGUUCUAAGUAGCCCUUUGAAUAGAAGAGCUUUUGAGAACCGGCAGGUGAACACCAAAUGUUUGUGGUCAAGCUACAAAGGCUUACGGUGGAUACCUAGGCACACAGAGAAAGUCCCCGCCUCGUGUGGCAAUAUGAUGACAAGGUACCCU